This is an RNA transcript of Haplochromis burtoni (Burton's mouthbrooder), 2314 nucleotides long. It is a transcript of the gene named H-2 class I histocompatibility antigen, Q9 alpha chain, with no coding region annotated. Lineage: Eukaryota; Metazoa; Chordata; Actinopteri; Cichliformes; Cichlidae. The record is from RefSeq and is a predicted model, not a curated record. The transcript is spliced from 7 exons.
GUUCUCCUCCUUUUCUCCUAUUUUAGCUUUAGCUUUUUCUGGACAACUGAAACAUAAAGUCUGUUAAAGGUUUCCGUGUUUAUGGUCACAAUGAAGGUCAUCAUCUUCUUUCUUAUCCUGGGGAUACAGGGAGCAGCGGCAGUGACCCACUCUCUGAAGUAUUUCUACACUGCCUCCUCUCAAGUCCCAAACUUCCCAGAGUUUGUGACUGUUGGGAUGGUUGAUGAUGUUCAGAUUAAUUAUUAUGACAGCGACACGGAGAGAGAGGUGCCCAAACAGGACUGGGUGAACAAUGCAGUAGACCCACAGUUCUGGGAGAGGAACACUGAUAUCUCCAGGGGUUCCCAGCAGACGUUCAAAGCCAACAUUGAGACUGCAAAGCAGCGCUUCAACCAAUCUGGAGGUGUUCACAUUGUGCAGCAGAUGUACGGCUGUGAAUGGGAUGAUGAAACAGAUGAAGUGAACGGAUAUGAGCAGUUUGGUUAUGAUGGAGAGGACUUUAUAAGCUUUGACCUGAAGACAGAGACGUGGGUCGCUCCUGUACAACAGGCUGUCAUCACCAAAUACAAGUGGGACAGUAACAGAGCUCUGAUCACACAGAGGAAGAACUACCUCACCCAGAUUUGUCCUGAGUGGCUGAAGAAGUAUGUGAACUAUGGGAGGAGCUCUCUGAUGAAAACAGUUCUUCCCUCAGUGUCUCUCUUCCAGAAGUCUUCCUCCUCUCCGGUCACCUGCCACGCUACAGGUUUCUAUCCUGACAGAGCCGAGAUGGUCUGGAGGAAAGAUGGAGUGGAGGUUCAUGAGGGUGUGGAGAAAGGAGAGAUUCUCACCAACAAUGACGGGACCUUCCAGAUUAGUGUUGAUCUGGAUCUUUCAUCAGUCACACCUGAAGACUGGGAGAGGUACAACUGUGUGUUUCAGCUCUCUGGUGUGAACGAGGACAUGGUCACCAAACUGGACAAAGCAGUGAUCAGAACCAACAAGGGUAAAAGUGAUGAAGGAAAUUUCCUCGCCAGGAUCUUUGCGACCAUGAAACAAUGGUUCUCGCAGUGAUUGCUGUAAUUGGUUUCAUUGACUACAAAAAGAGAACAGGAUUUUCCAUUUUUGAGAAAAUGUCAGAUCAGAGCAGGAUGUGGACUAACAGCGUGUUUGUGACGUGACUUUCUGAGUCUCUAGAGCAAAUGACAAACAGCCCUGCAAACAGUUUAUGGACAAAUUUUGCACUGAAACAAGAAGCAUCAACAAGCCUCAUUUGCCCCCAUAAACUGUGACCUCAUCAGCUGUUCAUCAUUCACAUCAUAAAAUGAAGUGUUAAGAUCUAGUUAUGUUGUGGAUUUUUUUAUGACAUAUAUACCUGUAUACACUGGACAUAUACUCACAUGUAUACUAUGUAAUCACAUAUAUUAGUAUACACCAUACACACCUAUACUGUAGUUUUUUAUAUAUUGGAAUCACUGUGUUAAGCAUUUAACCUACAUGCUCGAAAUCACAAGACCCAUAAAUUGAGGUCAAAUAUUAUCUACAUUUAUAUUAAUAAAGUUUGUGCCACUUGUUGUAUGAGCACAUGCUGAUGAAUACUGUUUGAAAUGUAAUAAUUGGGAUCAAUAAGUAACCUCUGAUAGUGUUAUGGCCAACCCCAUCCAAACAUAGGGUUAAUUCAACUUGGCACUGCUGAGGAUGCACCUGAGACUCUUUUCUCCCAAAGUUGUGAAAAACCUUUCUUUAUCAAAUAUAGUGGCCCACCUCAAACCAGAGUUUGCCAAGGUUGUCAGGAUGAUUAACUGUUAUCUGUGAGAUUUGUAGACUUUUGGACUCACUCUGGCCAUAAAACUGACAAAGGGAUCCAAUUAAAAAUGAUGGAUGCUGGGAAUAGGGCUCGGAAAAGUUUCGGAGUAACCCAGAAGGUUAAGUGACACAAGUGUCGGAGAUUAAAAAAGCUGCAAAGUGCAAGUGGGUUUGACAACCGCUUGGGGGGAAAGGAUUGACAAACAUAUUACAUCAAUAAUUGGGGUAAUAUUGAUAUUUAUAGUGUUAAGAAAGUACUUAUUAGUUUAAAAUUAAUACGGUCCAAGUAAAAAACAAGGAAGGAAAGUUACCAAACAGCAGGAAGAGGGAUCACUGAUCCCAUAUAAAGGAAGGUUAGAUAUGCCCGGGCAGCUUUUUUUUCCUGGCUGUCAUUUUAUGUGUCUCUGCUGUUUAUGCUUAAAGGCUCUACACCCUUCGCUUUGCGGGCUUGCUAUAUGCUGUUGUGCGGUAUUGUACUGUUUUGCUGUGCAUAUAACACUGUUUAAUAAACUCAGUUUUAAGAAUUCUA